Molecule: ribosomal RNA, 2327 nt
Filed under: Pseudomonadota bacterium
Lineage: Bacteria; Pseudomonadati; Pseudomonadota
Description: Proteobacteria bacterium (freshwater metagenome) 23S ribosomal RNA
Rfam family: Bacterial large subunit ribosomal RNA
Source: RNAcentral
CCAAGCUACAAAGAGCCAACGGUGAAUGCCUUGGCGCCUAUGACCGAAGAAGGACGUGGAUGACUGCGAAAAGUUACGGUGAGCCGUCUAUCAGGCUUCGACCCGUAAAUGUCCGAAUGAGGAAACUCAACACUCGUUAUUGAGUGUUAUUCCGGUGUGAAUACAUAGCACCGGUAAAGGGAACCGGGGGAAUUGAAACAUCUCAGUACCCCGAGGAAAGAAAAGCAAACGCGACUCCCCUAGUAGUGGCGAGCGAAAAGGGAACAGGCUAAACCGCAGCAACGUGACACCCUGAAGGGGUUGUUGAUGCGGUGUCGUGGGAUAUCGACGUACGGCUUCAGACGUACGACGGAGUUAACAACGUGCUGCGUAGUAGAACCAUCUGGAAAUAUGGACCACAGGGGGUAAUAGUCCCGUACACGAAACGCACGCACGCUCCGCGAUCGAUCCCAAGUAAUGGCGGGGCCGAGCAACCUGCCAUGAAUCCGUGGGGACCACCCCAUAAGCCUCAGUAUCAAUAGGCGACCGAUAGUGAACCAGUACCGCGAGGGAAAGGUGAAAAGAACCCCGGGAGGGGAGUGAAAUAGUACCUGAAACCGUUGGUUUACAAGCAGUCAGAGAGUCGUGUUGCAACCGUAGGGUUGCAUCGCCUCGAUGGCGUGCCUUUUGAAGAAUGAGCCUACGAGUUGCGGUAUGUGGCGAGGUUAACCCGAGAGGGGUAGCCGAAGCGAAAGCGAGUCUGAACAGGGCGUUCAGUCGCAUGCUGUAGACCCGAAGCCAAGUGAUCUUGCCAUGGUCAGGUUGAAGCGGGGGUAAGACCCCGUGGAGGACCGAACAGGUACCAGUUGAAAAUGGUUCUGAUGAACUGUGGUAAGGGGCGAAAGACCAAUCAAACUUGGCGAUAGCUGGUUCUCCUCGAAAUGCAUUUAGGUGCAGCGUUGCACGUUCAAUUCCGGAGGUAGAGCACUGGAUGGGCUAGAGGUCCAACAAGAUUAUCGACCCCAGCCAAACUCCGAAUUACGGAAUUCCAGAGUGCAGCAGUGAGACCAUGGGGGAUGAGCUUCAUUGGUCGAAAGGGAAACAGCCCAGAUCAUCAGCUAAGGCCCCAAAUUCAGGACUAAGUGUAAAACGAUGUGAAAUUGCUUAGACAGCCAGGAGGUUGGCUUAGAAGCAGCCACCCUUGAAAGAGUGCGUAACAGCUCACUGGUCGAGUGAUUUUGCGCGGACAAUGUAACGGGGCUCAAGUCCUGAGCCGAAGCUAUGGAUUGCAUCGACGUUCGCGUCGUUGCAGUGGUAGAGGAGCGUUGAUGGAGUGCCGAAGCGACGAGGUAACUCGGCGUGGAGUUCCAUCAAGUGAGAAUGUAGGUAUGAGUAGCGAAAGAGGGGUGAGAAACCCCUCCGCCGAAUGCCCAAGGUUUCCUGGGGAAGGCUAAUCCUCCCAGGGUAAGUCGGGAGCUAAGGAGAGGCCGCGAGGCGUAUCCGAUGCACAACUGGUUGAUAUUCCAGUCCGGGUAAGCGAGAAGGUGGGUUGCGAUGAGAGUCGCGGCCGUAACACUGAGACGCAAUACCGACCUCGUUUGAGGGAAGUCACUGAUUCCACACUGUCGAGAAAAGCGCAGUAGUGAGUUGACACGGCGCCCGUACCCCAAACCGACUCAGGUGGGCGCGUAGAGAAUACGAAGGCGAUCGGGAGAACUGUGGUUAAGGAACUCGGCAAAUUGCCUCCGUAACUUCGGGAUAAGGAGGACCCAUGAACGUCAGAGACUUCGCGUCUCGAAGCGUAUGUGGGUGUCACAAACUAGGGAGCAGCGACUGUUUAACAAAAACACAGCAGCGUGCCAAGCCGCAAGGCGAUGUAUACGCUGUGACGCCUGCCCAAUGCUGGAAGGUCACGAGGAUGAGUUAGCCGCAAGGCGAAGCUUUGAAUCUAAGCCCCAGUGAAUGGCGGCCGUAACUAUAACGGUCCUAAGGUAGCGAAAUUCCUUGUCGGGUAAGUUCCGACCUGCACGAAUGGCGUAACGCAGUUCGGUCCCUAUCUUCUACAUCCGAAGGAACUUUGAGGGAUGCUGUCUUUAGUACGAGAGGACCGAGACGGACGUAGCUCUGGUGUGCCAGUUGUACCGCCAGGUGCAUGGCUGGUUAGCCACCUACGGAAGGGAUAAACGCUGAAAGCAUCUAAGUGUGAAACCCGUCCCAAGAUAAGAGUUCCCAUGCGGUUAACGCAGUAAGGCCCGUGGCGAGACCACCACGUUGAUAGGCCGGAAGUGGAAGCGCGGCGACGCGCGGAGCUGACCGGUACUAAUCGGCCGAGGGCUUGGAUUGUGCUC